Long non-coding RNA from Haliotis rubra (blacklip abalone), 231 nucleotides. RefSeq lists it as uncharacterized. The transcript is spliced from 3 exons. Lineage: Eukaryota; Metazoa; Mollusca; Gastropoda; Lepetellida; Haliotidae. The record is from RefSeq and is a predicted model, not a curated record.
CUACUACUGAGACAGUUGACGUGGGAACAGACACAAACCAACUCAUUUCGUGUCGGAGUAAGUCCUGUCAGUGUGUGACACCCUCCUUGAUGUCGACUGGUACCCAGAAGAGCAUGAACACAUCUUGGUGCACAAUUGCUGUCCAGUGUACACCAGAUACAUGCGACCGUGCUACACAAUAUGAGGCACCAGGUGAUGCUGACAGCAAGAACAAUAUGCCUGACACAACUG